CGGGUGAGUAACACGUGGAUAACCUACCUAUAAGACUGGGAUAACUUCGGGAAACCGGAGCUAAUACCGGAUAAUAUAUUGAACCGCAUGGUUCAAUAGUGAAAGACGGUUUUGCUGUCACUUAUAGAUGGAUCCGCGACGCAUUAGCUAGUUGAUAAGGUAACGGCUUACCAAGGCAACGAUGCGUAGCCGACCUGAGAGGGUGAUCGGCCACACUGGAACUGAGACACGGUCCAGACUCCUACGGGAGGCAGCAGCA
RNAcentral lists this ribosomal RNA (259 nucleotides) under uncultured Staphylococcus sp. Its description in RNAcentral is "partial 16S ribosomal RNA". It matches the Rfam family "Bacterial small subunit ribosomal RNA", at positions 103 to 355 of the family's 1533-position model. The record is from RNAcentral. Lineage: Bacteria; Bacillati; Bacillota; Bacilli; Caryophanales; Staphylococcaceae.